This 301-nucleotide ribosomal RNA is filed under the name uncultured bacterium. Its description in RNAcentral is "partial 16S ribosomal RNA". It matches the Rfam family "Bacterial small subunit ribosomal RNA", at positions 509 to 807 of the family's 1533-position model. The record is from RNAcentral.
CAGUCGCCACGGUAAUACGUAGGUGGCGAGCGUUGUCCGGAUUUAUUGGGCGUAAAGGGAGUGUAGGCGGUCUUUUAAGUCUGAUGUGAAAGCCCACGGCUCAACCGUGGAGGGUCAUUGGAAACUGGGAGACUUGAGUGCAGAAGAGGAGAGCGGAAUUCCAUGUGUAGCGGUGAAAUGCGUAGAUAUAUGGAGGAACACCAGUGGCGAAGGCGGCUCUCUGGUCUGUAACUGACGCUGAGGCUCGAAAGCGUGGGGAGCAAACAGGAUUAGAUACCCCCGUAGUCCCUGUCUCUUAUAC